AGAGUUUGAUCAUGGCUCAGAACGUACGCUGGCGGCACGCCUAAUACAUGCAAGUCGAACGAAGUAGCAAUACUUAGUGGCAGACGGGUGAGUAACAUGUAGGUAUCUACCCUUUGGCCUGGAAUAACACGAGGAAACUUGUGCUAAUACCGGAUAAGUCUUUACGGAGAAAGCUUUAUGCACCAUUGGAUGAGCCUGCACUUGAUUAGUUUGUUGGUGGGGUAAUGGCCUACCAAGACAAUGAUCAAUAGCUGAUUUGAGAGGAUGAUCAGCCACAUUGGGACUGAGACACGGCCCAAACUCCUACGGGAGGCAGCAGUAGGGAAUCUUGCACAAUGGAGGAAACUCUGAUGCAGCGAUGCCGCGUGAGUGAAGAAGGCCUUUGGGUUGUAAAGCUCUUUCGUCGGGGAAGAAAAUGACUGUACCCGAAUAAGAAGGUCCGGCUAACUUCGUGCCAGCAGCCGCGGUAAUACGAAGGGACCUAGCGUAGUUCGGAAUUACUGGGCUUAAAGAGUUCGUAGGUGGUUAAAAAAGUUGGUGGUGAAAUCCCAGAGCUUAACUCUGGAACUGCCAUCAAAACUUUUUAGCUAGAGUAUGAUAGAGGAAAGCAGAAUUUCUAGUGUAGAGGUGAAAUUCGUAGAUAUUAGAAAGAAUACCGAUUGCGAAGGCAGCUUUCUGGAUCAUUACUGACACUGAGGAACGAAAGC
This 707-nucleotide ribosomal RNA is filed under the name uncultured bacterium. Its description in RNAcentral is "bacterial SSU rRNA". It matches the Rfam family "Bacterial small subunit ribosomal RNA", at positions 8 to 760 of the family's 1533-position model. The record is from RNAcentral.